Urocitellus parryii (Arctic ground squirrel) is the source of this 534-nucleotide non-coding RNA. Lineage: Eukaryota; Metazoa; Chordata; Mammalia; Rodentia; Sciuridae. The record is from RefSeq and is a predicted model, not a curated record.
CUCUCCUGUUCCAGGUCAGGCACUUUGGAUUUAACCUUGCAGCCGAGGCUCAGCUGCCCUGACAACCUGCUGUUCGUUUCUACAGCAACACCUCCUGCAAAGGUAGCCCAGAGUGUCCUUGGCCACCGGCUUCCUGGGGUGAUAAAAAUAGCUGAGGGCCUACAGCUGCUGAAUGAUGAAUUCUGGAAGGAGAUGAUUGAUCCUCACAGCUGAGCCUCGAGGAAAGAAGAGUUCUUAUUGGUCCUCUGGUAUUUGGUGACAUGAGGUGGUGGGAGAUGUCAUGGAACACUUUCCAGAAGUAAGGACAUUGGAGUAGAGCCUUUUAAAAGACCAUGGCAGUAAUGCUGGGAUGUAGCAUGAGGACCUUACCAGAUGUGGCCAGUGACCUUGAGCUUCUCAGCUUCCAGAACUGUUAGCCAUCCAGCACUGAGAAGUGGCACCUGGAAUGGAAAAAGKUGUCUACAACCUGACCCAGAGCUAGAGAUGUGCAGAUGUCAAGAAAAAAGAAAGUCUAUAAUAUGUCAAAAUAUACCC